CUGAACUUAAGCAUAUCAAUAAGCCGGGAGGA
RNAcentral lists this ribosomal RNA (32 nucleotides) under Ceratobasidium sp. AG-A. RNAcentral describes it as "partial 28S ribosomal RNA". Lineage: Eukaryota; Fungi; Basidiomycota; Agaricomycetes; Cantharellales; Ceratobasidiaceae. The record is from RNAcentral.